Molecule: ribosomal RNA, 253 nt
Filed under: uncultured bacterium
Lineage: Bacteria
Description: partial 16S ribosomal RNA
Rfam family: Bacterial small subunit ribosomal RNA
Source: RNAcentral
UACGAAGGGGGCUAGCGUUGUUCGGAAUUACUGGGCGUAAAGGGCGCGUAGGCGGUGUGUCAAGUCAGGCGUGAAAGCCCUGGGCUCAACCUGGGAACUGCAGUGGAUACUGAGAAGCUAGAGUGUGUCAGAGGAUGGUGGAAUUCCCGGUGUAGCGGUGAAAUGCGUAGAGAUCGGGAGGAACAUCAGUGGCGAAGGCGGCCAUCUGGGACAACACUGACGCUGAGGCACGAAAGCGUGGGGAGCAAACAGG